CACUGAGGCUGCUCCCACUCUGGAACAUUGUCCAGCCCCCAGCUGAGACCUGCAAGUCUCCUGAGGUUUGGGUAUCUCUCCCCUGCCCAGCACUGGGGGAACAGUUUUUAACCUGCACUUUUGUUCCCUCUCGUGCCUCUGAUCAGCCCCUGCAGAAGACACAACUCCUGGAGCAGAAGGUGCGUAUGACUUCAGUAUAUUGGGCAGAAUUUCAAGCAUCAGCUUGAGUAAAAUCCUGCUCCACUCCCCCCUGACAGCCCUGGCUUUGGCCACACAAUAAUGGAACAGAGAUUUAAGUGUGCUUUUGUUUUCUCUUUGAAAGUCACGACCGUGCCUACAACACCUGGAACCCCAGCGACAAGUUCACCUGCUGCAUCAGUCCCUUCAACUCCUGAAACAACCACUGCCACUACACAGCUCAUUCCCCUGCCUAAGUACGUGAGGCUGAUGUUGCUGAAAUAUCUAAAUAGCCUGUGCCAGCCAAGGAGACCUGGGAUGCCAGGAAUAACAUUGGAAAGGUGUGUAAAAGACCCAACCUGUGGGAAUAACCCUUCAUCAGGCCAGAGGCUUGUCCAGCUCCGUUACAAUGCUCCUUUAAAGAAUGGAAUGUGCCUACAGUGCAAAGUAUUAGGGUGCAACAUACUCCCUCUUCCUCCUGCCCGACCCUUCCCAGGGAACUUAUUCCCAAUUCCUCUUCCCCGACCCUUCCCAGGGAUCAAGAUCCCUUCUUUCAGACCCUUCCCAGUGAACAGGCUCCCUGCUCCCCAACCCUUCCCAGGCUCCAGGAGAAGAGCCAGAAGCACAAGUGGCGGAGUCGUUGUUGUCGUCGUCCCCAAGUAAUGAUGCUUCUGACCAUGACAUUAUGUUGAGCACCUCUAGACCUGUUCAUUGUGUUCCAAAAUCUGCUGCUUAUUUCUAAAAAUAUACUAGUGGGUGUAAAUCUAAAGGUAUUUAAUCUUAA
This 961-nucleotide long non-coding RNA is filed under the name Lonchura striata (white-rumped munia). RNAcentral describes it as "domestica (Bengalese finch) lncRNA (ENSLSDG00000010640.1)". The record is from RNAcentral. Lineage: Eukaryota; Metazoa; Chordata; Aves; Passeriformes; Estrildidae.